UUUGUGGAGCGUGAGGAGUUAAACGCCUUCAUGCCUGCAUAUUCGUGCACUUUGGGUGUACUUGCCCGUGUGUAAGUUAACAUCAAUUUUGGUGGUCAUAAAAUGGCUGGAGGAAUGUAGCUUCGAUCUUGUAUUGAAGUGUUAUAGCCUUCGGUAGAUGUGACGAUCGGGAUUGAGGAUUGCAACGGAUACCCUUCGGGGCUACCUGUCUGAUCUCUGAUUGUUGCUCUGGUACCGAAAGCUUGCUUACGGUUAUCAAAGUCGAUGGUCAAUAGGUUAGAACGGGUUAAA
RNAcentral lists this ribosomal RNA (291 nucleotides) under uncultured Glomeromycotina. RNAcentral describes it as "partial 25S ribosomal RNA". Lineage: Eukaryota; Fungi; Glomeromycota. The record is from RNAcentral.